ACAGGGAUUGCCCUAGUAACGGCGAGUGAAGCGGCAACAGCUCAAAUUUGAAAUCUGGCGUCUUUGGCGUCCGAGUUGUAAUUUGCAGAGGGCGCUUUGGCAUUGGCAGCGGUCCAAGUUCCUUGGAACAGGACGUCACAGAGGGUGAGAAUCCCGUACGUGGUCGCUAGCCUCUACCGUGUAAAGCCCCUUCGACGAGUCGAGUUGUUUGGGAAUGCAGCUCUAAAUGGGAGGUAAAUUUCUUCUAAAGCUAAAUACUGGCCAGAGACCGAUAGCGCACAAGUAGAGUGAUCGAAAGAUGAAAAGCACUUUGGAAAGAGAGUUAAAAAGCACGUGAAAUUGUUGAAAGGGAAGCGCUUGCAGCCAGACUUGCCUGUAGUUGCUCAUCCGGGUUUUUACCCGGUGCACUCUUCUACGGGCAGGCCAGCAUCAGUUUGGGCGGUUGGAUAAAGGUCUCUGUCAUGUACCUCUCUUCGGGGAGAACUUAUAGGGGAGACGACAUGCAACCAGCCUGGACUGAGGUCCGCGCAUCUGCUAGGAUGCUGGCGUAAUGGCUGUAAGCGGCCCGUCUUGAAACACGGACCAAGGAGUCUAACAUCUAUGCGAGUGUUUGGGUGUCAAGCCCGAGCGCGUAAUGAAAGUGAACGGAGGUGGGAACCUUUCGGGGUGCACCAUCGACCGAUCCUGAUGUCUUCGGAUGGAUUUGAGUAAGAGCAUAGCUGUUGGGACCCGAAAGAUGGUGAACUAUGCUUGAAUAGGGUGAAGCCAGAGGAAACUCUGGUGGAGGCUCGCAGCGGUUCUGACGUGCAAAUCGAUCGUCAAAUUUGGGCAUAGGGGCGAAAGACUAAUCGAACUAUCUAGUAGCUGGUUCCUGCCGAAGUUUCCCUCAGGAUAGCAGUAACGUUUUCAGUUUUAUGAGGUAAAGCGAAUGAUUAGAGGCCUGGGGGUUGAAACAACCUU
This 960-nucleotide ribosomal RNA is filed under the name Didymella rhei. RNAcentral describes it as "eukaryotic LSU rRNA". It matches the Rfam family "Eukaryotic large subunit ribosomal RNA", at positions 68 to 1048 of the family's 3401-position model. RNAcentral also lists the same sequence under 1 other name. The record is from RNAcentral. Lineage: Eukaryota; Fungi; Ascomycota; Dothideomycetes; Pleosporales; Didymellaceae.